Molecule: long non-coding RNA, 96 nt
Organism: Stegastes partitus (bicolor damselfish)
Lineage: Eukaryota; Metazoa; Chordata; Actinopteri; Pomacentridae
Exons: 3
Source: RefSeq, a predicted model, not a curated record
GCAUUGAUUGUUGUAACAGUAGCAAUGUGGCCAACAUUAGCUUUGAUGGUAGUUGUAGCGAUAAUGUGGCUAACAUUAGCUUAGGUGGUAGUAGUA